GCAGCCUGCAACUCGGCUGCAUGAAGCUGGAAUCGCUAGUAAUCGCAGAUCAGAAUGCUGCGGUGAAUACGUUCCCGGGUCUUGUACACACCGCCCGUCACACCAUGGGAGUUGGGAAUGCCCGAAGUCAGUGACCCAACCGCAAGGAGGGAGCUGCCGAAGGCAGGCUUGAUAACUGGGGUGAAGUCGUAACAAGGUAAC
RNAcentral lists this ribosomal RNA (201 nucleotides) under uncultured bacterium. Its description in RNAcentral is "partial 16S ribosomal RNA". It matches the Rfam family "Bacterial small subunit ribosomal RNA", at positions 1300 to 1500 of the family's 1533-position model. The record is from RNAcentral.